Molecule: long non-coding RNA, 1108 nt
Organism: Astatotilapia calliptera (eastern happy)
Lineage: Eukaryota; Metazoa; Chordata; Actinopteri; Cichliformes; Cichlidae
Source: Ensembl
UUUGGAACAAUAAUUCCAUUAUUCCUCAUUUGGGAAUAAUGGAAUGGGAUGAAUAAAGUAUUCUGAUUCUGAUUUGAUGUUUACGAGCUGCCGUUUUUGACGUUCACUAUACACAGUGGUAUAAUGAACAUGAAAAGAUUCACAGAAUUAACAUGUGUGUGAUUUUUUUUAUACAUAUGAAGCAAAUAAGAGCUGCAGGCCUGUUUUUUUUUUUUUCAGGUUUUUACACAUGUAGGUCUUUUUUGUACAUGUGCAGAACAAGCUAGUCCGUAUCGUGACUAACGUACAGGAAAGGCUAACAGGGGGCAUUAUCACACAAAUGUAAGUCCUGUCUGCUAAACAGUUCACGUAAACUUAAAGUCACACGCUAAGUUUGUUAUACAAAUAUAACAUAGAGCGUUUAUCUGAGGUGUGUAUUUUUUGUCUCCCUUUUACCCGAGAGAAAAGCCAAACAGCAGGCCUCCUGGUGAGUUUGACUAUGUCACUGCAUUUCAUCAGAAUACCCCAGACUCACCAUCAGUCUGAACCAGUUCAAAUAGCUAAACUCAGUCUCUCAGCAGCCGGCGCAGAGGCACGAGGCCUAAUAAGCACAUGCUAAAUGUGAUAAGCUGCUUUGUAGCUGCAUUUUGCCAGUUUUUUUUUUUUCACCAUUCUUUUCUUCCACCCUGGUGAUUUACUCACUCCAGGCGAUGUGUGCUUUUUGUUCGACGUAGAUUUGUACACACCACAGAGCCGUGCAAAUAGAUUUCUGUCUCAAUUGGUCCCUCGGUGUGACACAGUGGAAAGAUACUUGGACAGAACGCAGGGCGAAAAGGGAUUUUUAUGUUACAAAUAUUCAAGUGCUAAAUCACAGUGUGUGCUUUGAGGAGGCUGAGUUUAGUAUUUUUAAGAGGCCCCCGUUGGAAACUGUGACUGGAGGCUGAAUCCAAAACUCACUGCAGCUCAGCACCACUCAUGAAAAUUCAUUCACAAGUACCUGUGCAGAGGUCAAACUGAAGUUUGGGGAGUGUUGCCAAAACAUCUCCCACACAUGAAAGCCAUUUUUUGUCAUGGGUGAGAGAGAUAGGUGCCAUUUGGUUUGAGUUAUAAAAGCACACAUAAAUGGAAA